GAAAUGCGAUAAGUAAUGUGAAUUGCAGAAUUCCGCGAAUCAUCAGAUCCUUGAACGCAACUGGCGCUGGGAGGCUCUCCUCCCAGCAUGUCUGUUUCAGUGUCUGAAAACAUCAUAUUUAUCUUAAUGUGGAUGACAAGAUGUAUCCUAACUUUUCUAAGUUGUUACAUUAAGUCUUCCAUGAAAGAUGUACAUGCGGGUUUUUGGACCCCUCAUCGAAUUGGUCACUGUCUCAUCAGUGAUUUCGAUAGGGAGAUUUCUAAUUACCUGAUAUGCAUGUAUCUAAAAAACUAAUAUAUGUCUUCAAACUCUGCAUCUGAAAUCAGGCAAGAACACCCGCUGAACUUAA
Molecule: unclassified non-coding RNA, 349 nt
Filed under: uncultured Acaulospora
Lineage: Eukaryota; Fungi; Glomeromycota; Glomeromycetes; Diversisporales; Acaulosporaceae
Description: sequence contains ITS1
Rfam family: 5.8S ribosomal RNA (bases 1-105)
Source: RNAcentral